RNAcentral lists this transfer RNA (76 nucleotides) under Marmota monax (woodchuck). RNAcentral describes it as "tRNA.Ala". It matches the Rfam family "tRNA". From Rfam's summary of the family: Transfer RNA (tRNA) molecules are approximately 80 nucleotides in length. Their secondary structure includes four short double-helical elements and three loops (D, anti-codon, and T loops). Lineage: Eukaryota; Metazoa; Chordata; Mammalia; Rodentia; Sciuridae. The record is from RNAcentral.
UCUGGGGAUAUGGCUCAGUUGGUAGAGUGCUUGCCUUGCAUGUAUAAGGCCCUGGGUUCAAUCCCCAGCACCAAAA